RNAcentral lists this ribosomal RNA (253 nucleotides) under uncultured bacterium. RNAcentral describes it as "partial 16S ribosomal RNA". It matches the Rfam family "Archaeal small subunit ribosomal RNA", at positions 474 to 727 of the family's 1478-position model. The record is from RNAcentral.
UACCAGCACCCCGAGUGGUCGGGACGUUUAUUGGGCCUAAAGCAUCCGUAGCCGGUUCUACAAGUCUUCCGUUAAAUCCACCUGCUUAACAGAUGGGCUGCGGAAGAUACUAUAGAGCUAGGAGGCGGGAGAGGCAAGCGGUACUCGAUGGGUAGGGGUAAAAUCCGUUGAUCCAUUGAAGACCACCAGUGGCGAAGGCGGCUUGCCAGAACGCGCUCGACGGUGAGGGAUGAAAGCUGGGGGAGCAAACCGA